Molecule: transfer RNA, 69 nt
Filed under: Bujurquina mariae
Lineage: Eukaryota; Metazoa; Chordata; Actinopteri; Cichliformes; Cichlidae
Description: tRNA-Glu
Rfam family: tRNA
About the family: Transfer RNA (tRNA) molecules are approximately 80 nucleotides in length. Their secondary structure includes four short double-helical elements and three loops (D, anti-codon, and T loops). Further hydrogen bonds mediate the characteristic L-shaped molecular structure. tRNAs have two regions of fundamental functional importance: the anti-codon, which is responsible for specific mRNA codon recognition, and the 3' end, to which the tRNAs corresponding amino acid is attached (by aminoacyl-tRNA synthetases). tRNAs cope with the degeneracy of the genetic code in two manners: having more than one tRNA (with a specific anti-codon) for a particular amino acid; and 'wobble' base-pairing, i.e. permitting non-standard base-pairing at the 3rd anti-codon position.
Source: RNAcentral
GUUUUUGUAGUUGAAUAACAACGGUGGUUCUUCAAGUCAAUAGUCCUGGUUAGAAUCUGGGCAGAAACU